UGGUGGAGCGAUUUGUCUGCUUAAUUGCGAUAACGAACGAGACUCUGGCCUACUAACUAGAAGAAAGUUCUUCGAGACUGUCAUACUUCUUAGAGGGAUAAGGGGAUUGAAGCCCCAAGAGAUUGAGCAAUAACA
Molecule: ribosomal RNA, 135 nt
Filed under: uncultured eukaryote
Lineage: Eukaryota
Description: partial 18S ribosomal RNA
Rfam family: Eukaryotic small subunit ribosomal RNA
Source: RNAcentral